UUUUUUUUUUAGAAAAAGAAAACAAAAAAAAAACAAAACAGCCUGUUCAAACAAUCGCUGUCAACAAAAGAUUCUGGGGAGUGGGAGGAGGGAACCUUGACCAUCUUCUUUCUAAAAUCAGUUCCUCACAGCCAGUUCCUCUUGCAGGAUGAGUCCUUUGCAUCUGAUCAGAGUCAUUUUUGUAAUGAGCAGGUUUUCCUGGCUUUCUUUUCAAAUAAAAUGUUAAAAGCAGCAGUGUUUGGACAGCAGAUUGUUCUGUUAAACUUUCCUAUCUUCUCACUGUAUCCAGAAAUGCUCCUUCCUAGCAGCAGUAGUAGCUUUUCUCCAUUUUGUUUUUUCUGCAACAUUCUGUACAAAAAUGUGCUGUAAUUGUGCGUUAGGCCUGGAUUUGGCAUAAAAGAUGAAUUCCCUCUUACUCUCUUUCAUGAAACUACUCUGUAGAGCUUUCUCCACGCCCUGUAUCCCUCUUCACCUUUUGUAUUUAAUUUUAAAGUCAGUGUACUUCAAGAAAGCUGGAUGCAAGAUAGAUACUAUAUUAAAAUGUAAUGUUAUUUAAGAUGUAAUAAAGCAGUUUGACAUGAGUUUUGACUGAUCUGUUUUGCAGCUUAUUGUUCAACCCACAAAACAGCUUCUGUGGCAGGAUUGGAGUUGUGAAAUUAAAACGUGCAAGAGGAGGGAAUGAUGUCCCCAAGCAAAUGGUCUGGUGUUUUUAGAUGGCUUGGAUUGUUAAUGGUUCGUGCAGGAAGAGAGUUGAGUGGAAAUCUUGUGUUAUUGCCCUGUGAGGACCUGGCCCCAGCAGCUCAGUUGUCCUUGCUGUAGGUGUUGAGCAGGGUAAGUCAGUGCCAUUUUCAUGCUCAGUAAGAACAAACUCCCCACAGGGCAGAAUUUUAUCUAAAAUAAUUCUUUUAAGGAAGGAUUUCAUACCCAGAGGAGCAGGUUCCUGACACGAGGUGUUGAAAAGCGGUUGGUUUAACAGCGUGGCAUCGGUCAACUUGAGGGGUUUGUUUUGCAUUUUCAGUGAGGAAAGUCUCCUGUUCUGACCCAAACAAAAGUGUAUUUUCCCUCCUUUUGCAUCGACCAAGAGAAAUUCCAGUGCCAUGGCUUGGUUUCAUACCAAACAUGGAAAUUCUCAGCCCCAGUGGAGAAGCUUUGAAAAGCUGUGGGUAUGGAAAAUAUGAUGGUGACAUGACUUAACCAGCAGCCAUGGACUGCCAGCCUUGGGCCUUUGGACUCCACACACUGAGUCUGCCUGUGAUUUAAACGUGGAUUCCUUGUGGGUCUGAGCUGGAUUUACACUCCACUGUGUCAUAAUUCUGAAGUAUGUGAAAAGUUGAGUUUGUUCUGUGUUGGGGCUGUAGGAGAAAGUUUGGAAAAAUUAAACCAUAGAUUUCAGUUUCACUCUUGUAGAAAGGGGAAGGCUUAGUGCAUUCCCUGUCCCUCCUGCCCCAAAUGGCCCUGUCCCGUGGGAA
Long non-coding RNA from Lepidothrix coronata (blue-crowned manakin), 1469 nucleotides. RefSeq lists it as uncharacterized. Lineage: Eukaryota; Metazoa; Chordata; Aves; Passeriformes; Pipridae. The transcript is spliced from 3 exons. The record is from RefSeq and is a predicted model, not a curated record.